Molecule: long non-coding RNA, 386 nt
Filed under: Penaeus monodon (black tiger shrimp)
Lineage: Eukaryota; Metazoa; Arthropoda; Malacostraca; Decapoda; Penaeidae
Description: uncharacterized LOC119581868, transcript variant X1
Source: RNAcentral
CCUCUGAAUCUAGCGUAAGCGUUGUGGCUUCCGUUGGCAACACUGCGUCGAGUCGGAAGCAAGAACGAACAGCUCAAUGUCGGGACGAGAAGGAGGAAAGAAAAAGCCUCUUAAGGCGCCCAAGAAGCAAAAUAGUGAUAUGGACGACGAUGACAAGGCAUUCAUGCAAAAGAAGAAGGAAGAGGAGAGGAAGAUGAAAGAGUUGCAACAGAGAGCUGCAAAGGGUGGCCCACUAGGUGGUGGUGGCAUCAAGAAGAGUGGAAAGAAGUAAAGCCGAUUUCCUCUUAAUUGUAUCCUGAGUUUUCCCGUAAUUCUCGUUAAUCUCCAUUCAUUCAUACCCACCCAUUUUGAUGAAUCUGUAACAUUUUUGUUUUAUAAAUAAACCC